AUAUUUUACCUGGCAGAGGUGAUUUUUUAAUCGAGAAGGUGGUUUCCUCAGAGCGAGGAUUAUCCAUGGUACUCAGGUUGGGUUGACCCCGGCGAUUUUCUCCGACCUGGAAAACUCCACUGCUUAAUUUGUGGUAGUGGGGGACUGCGUUUGCACUCUCCCCUG
This is a small nuclear RNA of Trichosurus vulpecula (common brushtail), 165 nucleotides long. RefSeq annotates it as U1 spliceosomal RNA. The record is from RefSeq and is a predicted model, not a curated record. The transcript has a single exon. NCBI's taxonomy places the organism in Eukaryota, Metazoa, Chordata, Mammalia, Diprotodontia, Phalangeridae.